This 353-nucleotide ribosomal RNA is filed under the name uncultured bacterium. RNAcentral's name for it is "bacterial SSU rRNA". It matches the Rfam family "Bacterial small subunit ribosomal RNA", at positions 8 to 353 of the family's 1533-position model. The record is from RNAcentral.
AGAGUUGAUCAUGGCUCAGGAUGAACGCUAGCUACAGGCUUAACACAUGCAAGUCGAGGGGCAGCAUGGUCUUAGCUUGCUAAGGCCGAUGGCGACCGGCGCACGGGUGAGUAACGCGUAUCCAACCUGCCUUACACUCUUGGACAGCCUUCUGAAAGGGAGAUUAAUACAAGAUGUUAUCAUGAGUAAGCAUUUUCACAUGAUUAAAGGUUUACCGGUGUAAGAUGGGGAUGCGUUCCAUUAGAUAGUAGGCGGGGUAACGGCCCACCUAGUCUUCGAUGGAUAGGGGUUCUGAGAGGAAGGUCCCCCACAUUGGAACUGAGACACGGUCCAAACUCCUACGGGAGGCAGCA